AAUUUUUAAAUUUGUACAGGAUCCGAACCAGUCCUGAUCCAAAUAAAAUAUAUAUUAUAUUAUAUAUAUAUAUAUGAGAAAGCAAGAGGCUGGAGAGGAGAAGUUAAAAAACCUGCAAUCGCGGCACCUACAACGUCACUUUUGGAGUCACCUACGUUGACAACAAGCCUUGUCUCAAACUGGGGAUUGGAAGAGUAGAAAUCACUAAUAGACAUGUUGAUGCAGAGCAUGACAACCUUCGAGUGUGAAGUAUCGACAUCUGUUACAACACCGACAUCGACUAGGGUUUUGCCGUUGUUCUGUCCUCUGUUGAAUUCCAAACAGAAGAAGAAGACGAGCAAGAUGCAGAAGAAAAGCUUUUCGGUCCUCAUUUGGAGAUUUUUCUUUCUUCUUUUAGGUGAUAAGUGAUAGAUGAUGCUUAUUGGUUUAAAUAAUGCACACAUAUAUAGCAAAAUUUUAGAUAGUUGCUGAAUUUUUUAAUAUCUCAUCCUAAUAAGCAAUGAAACAUUGUGAAGAUAAGAAGCAAAUACGAUUUCAAAGUUCGCGGCAAUGUUUAAUACAG
Molecule: small RNA, 562 nt
Filed under: Arabidopsis thaliana (thale cress)
Lineage: Eukaryota; Viridiplantae; Streptophyta; Magnoliopsida; Brassicales; Brassicaceae
Description: ATSL110720
Source: RNAcentral